Molecule: long non-coding RNA, 889 nt
Filed under: Pan troglodytes (chimpanzee)
Lineage: Eukaryota; Metazoa; Chordata; Mammalia; Primates; Hominidae
Description: long non-coding RNA NONPTRT003148
Source: RNAcentral
GGGACACAUUCUGGACUCUCCUACCCUGAGCUCCAUGGCCUCCUCUGCAUGGUCGGUAAGAUGGCCCAGGUUCUCUCUGGACAUAUUUAUAACCUCCCUUUGGCACUUUCCUUUUCCAGCCUCUCGCGUCUGUCGGAGCCUCGCACACCUGGGGGAGUGAGGGCGGUAGGGGCCAGACAGAGAGACAGAGCUCCACCGUUCCCAGUGUUUCCAGGGCAGAGCAGCGCCAGGACAGGGCACAGGCAGCCAGCCUCUGGUUUAGGGGGAACUUCAAGGGUUGGGCUAUUUUUUUGUUCUUAGCUUAAAAGUAUUCCUGAAAUACACGGGCUCCUGCUGAAGACAUUUCCGUGCCUCUCCGAUUUCUGUGGAGGGAGACAGACAGUGGAUGGACUGUGAGUGUCUGGACUUCCCCAUGGUCCCAGGAGAGGGACAGUGGCUUGUGCAACCUGGAUGAAAUGUUUAUGACGUCUGCUUGUGACUGUUACCUCUUCUCAACCUGCACUACACCAGCGCAGAGCUUGCACUUAAGAAAUACCUGAUGAUGAGGCCGGGCAUGGUGGCUCACGCCAACACUUUGGGAGGCCAAGGUCCCAAGAUAAAGAACGCCAUUCAGGAAUCGUGCAGGCAUAGCUGGACUGGAUGGACUUAUGUCAAAUGACUACAGUUAAGAUCCUGGUGCUUAGAGUGGGCAAAACCUGGUAAGUGUAUUCAUCAACAUUACCAUACCUAGAAGAUUACUUCACCUGUGCUAGUGGGAACUGGGCUAAAAACCAGACAUCCUUAAAGGAGCUACUUGAACUAAUAAAAGAGCUACUUGAUUUUUUAAUUGGCAUUUGAACACAAGCAGAUGCCUCUCCGAUUUUUUUCUCUCCAAUAGGUUAAAUUUGCC